Molecule: ribosomal RNA, 1599 nt
Filed under: Triticum aestivum (bread wheat)
Lineage: Eukaryota; Viridiplantae; Streptophyta; Magnoliopsida; Poales; Poaceae
Description: partial small subunit ribosomal RNA
Source: RNAcentral
AUGACCAUCGUGCCCCUAAUUACGAACCGCCAUCGACGCAUCUGGACCGUCCUUGUGUUUUUCCCACUCGCGUUCAGCCCAGGGGGGAGCACCGGAGCAGAAACGUGGGUAUUAUUGAAUCAUGCACUGGGUAUAAGCAAAAACGGAAGCAGGAUCAUCAUAACUACAAGAAAUGAAGAUGUUGCUUCAUUGGCUGAUGAUGAGCAUGGCAUUCAGCUUAAAACUCUUGGAAAGGAAGAAGCAUGGGACCUCUUCUGUAGAAAAGCCUUUCCAAGAUUAGAAGGGAAAACAUGUCCCCAGAGUCUAAUUUAUUGGGCAGAAAAGAUUGUGGACAAGUGUGAAGGGUUGCCACUAGCUAUUGUUGCCAUUGGAAGUUUGCUGAUGCGCAAGAGGCUAUCUGAAAAUGAAUGGAAAUGCUUCUAUCAUCAGCUGGAUUGGCAGAUAGGUAACAAUGCAGAGCUCAGCUCCGUGAGGAAUGCCCUGGACCUUAGCAUCAACCAUUUACCAGGAAAUCUGAAGAACUGCUUUCUAUACUGUGGUAUAUUUCCUGAAGACUAUCUGAUUCGAAGAGAAUACCUUAUUAGGUUAUGGAUAGCGGAAGGAUUCAUAGAAGAAAGGGGGCCAGAGAUAACGAAGCUCCCUGAUGUUGUGACCACUCUGUUCAAUUUGCACUACCUUGAUUUGUCUUACACAAAUCUGGAAGUGGUUCCCAAAGCAUCGUGUAAGUUGACCAAACUACAGAUGCUAGAUCUUCGGGCAACUCGUGUGGUGGAACUGCCGGUUGAAAUAAAGAAGCUGACUAAGCUCCGGUUUCUGCGAAUUUCUGUCAUCCAUGAUUAUGAUGCAAGAAUAUUUGAUUGCUUCCAAGGCCCUAAAGUUCAUUCCGGGAUUUGUCUUCUAAAGGAUAUGCAAGAACUGGGAUAUGUGGAAGCAAACAAAGAUUUAGUCGUCAAUCUUUGCAACUUGACGUUACUCCGAAGACUUGAAAUAACAAAAGUCAAGCGUGAGCACAUUAAGGAAUUAUGGACCUCCAUCACAAGAUUGUCGCACCUUUCUAAUCUUGAUAUAAUCUCAUAUGCGAAGGAAGAAGUUCUUGAUCUGGAAAACUUAGAUCCUUUGCCAAAUCUGGAAUGGUUUUACCUGAAAGGCAAGUUGCACGGAGGUGUUAUCCCAACAAUAUUCAGCGGUUUCAGAAAACUCAGAGACCUACGCAUGGGGUGGUCCAGGUUGCAAGCAGAUCCAAUUCCUUCAUUUGCAAACUUAUCGCAUCUGGUUGAACUUCACCUUUACAGAGUCUAUGAGGGGCAGAUCAUGACUUUCAGGACAGGUUGGUUUCCAAAGCUCGAGAAACUGUACUUAGCUGACAUGGAGCAGCUCAGUUGCAUUGAUGUGGAGGCUGGGACCAUGCCGAUCCUUAAUUAUAUGCAGCUCACUGGUCUGAAAAAUUCCAUUGAGAUGAAGAAGCUGUUCUGUGCUUGUGUAAUUUGCUGGUGCAUGUUCACCAAGACUUCCCUCGCUAUGCUUGGAACUGAAUCGUGUGCCUUCUGCAGCCAUGUUGCCAGGACACGUGAUAUAGUCCGGUCCGGUGUUGUGCGUUGA